Tympanuchus pallidicinctus (lesser prairie-chicken) is the source of this 502-nucleotide long non-coding RNA. RefSeq lists it as uncharacterized. The transcript has 2 exons. The record is from RefSeq and is a predicted model, not a curated record. NCBI's taxonomy places the organism in Eukaryota, Metazoa, Chordata, Aves, Galliformes, Phasianidae.
UAUGAAAAAUGAAUCUAUGAGCUCUUAUUUAAUUUAGCUUUUCGUGUUUUCAUUAGCCAAUUUUGAAACUGUUGUUGAAAGGAGUUUGGGAUGACUGUUUUGUCCAUAUGCCCAUAUCAGCAGAAUUGGUUUGGUGUCUCUUGGAGACUGUCAAGGGUCAGUUUGCCUCUGUGCCACAACAAAUAAUCUGUUGUAUGAUCCAGUCUCUAAUAUGAAAUCAACUUUGCCACCUCAUCCUGUUUUGAAUGAUGGUUGCUUCAGAAGUAAUAGUGUUGUUCUCUUAUAGAGAGGAGAUUGUUUUAAACUGUUGGUUAAACCAGAAUGAACAUUAUUUAUUUCUCAGAAAUUCCUAAGGAGACUUAAGAGCUUGCAGUGUAAAAACACUUCGUUUCAAAUAACAUUCUGGUAAAUGACAAUACUGGAGUUCUGUGGCUUGGGAGGGAAAUGGGACACUAAUCCACACUGAGCAUUAAAUAAAUUCUUACCUGAUGCUCCUGUGAUA